AGAGUUUGAUCCUGGCUCAGGAUAAACGCUGGCGGCGUGCCUAACACAUGCAAGUCGAACGCCUUUCUUCUCGUAAGGGAAGGAGGGAGUGGCGGACGGGUGAGUAACGCGUGGGUACCUGCACUUUGGUGAGGAAUACAGGCGAGAAAUCGCCGACAAUACCGCAUGAGCUCUCGUGAGAGAGCAAAGCUUCGCAUCGGCGAGGCGCCAGAGAAUGGGCCUGCGUCCGAUUAGCUAGUUGGUGAGGUAAAGGCUUACCAAGGCGACGAUCGGUAGCUGGUCUGAGAGGACGAUCAGCCACACUGGGAUUGAGAACGGCCCAGACUCCUACGGGGGGCAGCAGUGAGGAAUUUUCGGCAAUGGGCGCAAGCCUGACCGAGCAACGCCGCGUGCAGGAGGAAGGUCUUCGGAUUGUAAACUGCUUUUCCCAGGGAAGAGUAAGGACGGUACCUGGGGAAUAAGUCCCGGCUAACUACGUGCCAGCAGCCGCGGUAAUACGUAGGGGGCGAGCGUUAUCCGGAGUUACUGGGCGUAAAGCGCACGUAGGCGGUCUGCUAAGUUCGGAGUGACAGUCACCAGCUUAACUGGUGAAGUACUUUGAAAACUGGCGGACUUGAGAGC
This 621-nucleotide ribosomal RNA is filed under the name uncultured soil bacterium. RNAcentral's name for it is "bacterial SSU rRNA". It matches the Rfam family "Bacterial small subunit ribosomal RNA", at positions 8 to 649 of the family's 1533-position model. The record is from RNAcentral.